RNAcentral lists this long non-coding RNA (5239 nucleotides) under Homo sapiens (human). RNAcentral's name for it is "non-protein coding lnc-RFC3-7:4". The record is from RNAcentral. Lineage: Eukaryota; Metazoa; Chordata; Mammalia; Primates; Hominidae.
GCCCUCCCACCAAGACGAGGCGCGCGCACCAGCAACCAGGGCCCGCUGGCGCCGCCCCGGGUUUCCGCUCCGGGGCUCGUCGGUCGCCGUUCGGUUCCGGUUCUGGCCCCGCCCUCACGCGGGAACCCUCCAGAAGUCUUAAUAUCCGGGACCAGAGGCUGGUUGCAGCGCACAUUUCCGGCAACGAGCGCAAAGGAAGGGAUCCGGUGACGCCUCUUCCCGUCUCCCCAGCGGCCCAGGCUCUGGCUCUCGGUGCGGCAGCGCCAUCUGGUGCCGAGUCUCCCGCCACCCGCGGAGGUGGCACGCGCCCUUCUCUCGGAACCUUCCAGAGAAACCGUGGCCCCUGCUUUCCUUUCUCCCGCCCUGGACGGGGAGGGACCCGAGUCUCCGCCCCGCCGAGUUCCCGCGCGGGAGGGACUUUGUGGCGACUCUGAAGCGGAAGCUGCCUGUAGGAGGAGCUUUACAAACCCAAAAUGGAGCGGAAACUGUUCUUUCUCUAGUUUUAAGUCCAGAAGAAACGGCGUCCUUUUAUUUUUUGCUUCCUUAUGCGUUGUUGCUGGGUCAUUCUCAGUCUUCCCCGUAUCAGUUCUUUAAUCUUUGAGGACUGGGACCCUGUAUUAAUUGCCUGGUAGGAAGAUGACACGAGCUUUGUGGCUUACAUUGGCCUCUGCUGUAAAAGCUUUUGUUUCCUUUGGCCUAUUAAAGCGCUGUUGUAAAAGCCUGCUGUGUAUGUUAGGAACCCAUCGAGAAGCAGAAUGUAGUAAUUUGCUUUAAAAUAGGCCAUGGAAGUUUCAGAAAGGUAGCCUCAGAAAUGCUCAAUGUAGAUUCGUUUGCAUGUCACGUUUCUUUUAGAUAAUCAGAGAAAGGAAAAGUAAUUUCCCCAAAGUUAGUAAAAUCAACACAUUUUCCUUUAAUAAUGUUCUUUUUUUCCUGUAAUCUUGGAGUACUAACAGAGUUGUUCUAAAUGUUUUAUUGGAAUGGUGCUGUGGAUAUCAAAAUAUAUAAUGAAACAAAUUUCCUUUAGAGUUUAGAUAGCACAUGUUAACUUGACUCUUUGAUUGUAUUUCUCCUAUAGUAAUGCUUCUCAAACUGGAGCAUGCAUCCAGAUUCUCUAGAAGGCUUGUUAAAACAGAUUGCUGGGCCUCAACACCAGAGGUUAUAACUGGGAGGGAAGGUCUGAGGAUACAGCUGGAUUAGUGUAGCUCUAGUAAAAUCUCAGGUGAUUCUGAUGCUGUUGGUACUAGGACCACACCUGGAAUAAUUUAGAGUUCAGGAUUGCUUUGUCAAUAAUGCUUUUUGCUGUUGCAGGACAGACGGUACUAAAAUAUACUGGUGAUACUAAGCCUGCACAAGUUAGUAGUCCUUUUGACUCCGUGGAUGGGAAGUAGUAAACUAAACCCUAGAACCAGUAGAGAGCUACAUAAAUGUUCACAGAUUAAAGCAACCAGUUCAUAGAAAUGUAUUCUGUAUAUGAUCAUGUGAUAGAGGGUGCUGUAAUACCAAGUAUACUAAAUAUUUCAGUUAUUAUACAGUAAUUGUUCUUUAGCUGUUAAAUUAGAAAUGACUAAAAUUAAGGACAAAAUAGUUUAAACAAUCAUACUAAUUUUACCCUUUGGAAGAUGCCAGGUUUUUUUCAGUCUUUUGCAUUUCCUCAAGUUCCCUUGUUUUACGGAAUUCUCUACCCCCAGCCCACUCCCAUCCCUACCGUGCCAUUUAUAAAUGUACACAGUGCUUACAUUAUAAAAAAUGAUCAUCUCAGAACUUGUCUCAUCUUUUCAGCAGGACUUUUCUCAAUUCUGUCAAAUUCUGACUGUGCCACUGCCUUUAUUGACACAGUAAUUAAAUCACGCAGUGAUUAAAGUGUGCUGCACACUGUAACUUUUGUGCUUGCUACAAAUAGAAAUACAGAUAUUGUUAGAUAAGUUUAUGUUUAUGAUAAUCAGUUCCUAAAAUGUAGAAAGCAGUCGGUUUUCUGGUCUCAGUUUUAUUUAAAUCACUGCUAUUUUGUUUACUGGAUGUAAGCUUCCCCCUCUCUGCUCUAGCCUGAAUGGGCCUUCGUGAAAAGAAGAAAAAAAAGAUUGAGAACAACUGUCUUAAAACCAUGGUAUUUUGGAAACAGCCUGAGGCCCUCACCAGAAAUAGCUGCUGGUACCAUGCUUCUUGUACAGCCUACAGAACUGUGAGCCAAGUAAACCUCUUUUCUUCAUAAAUUACCCAGCCUCAGGUAUUCCUUUAUAGAAAAAUAAAUGGACUAAGACAGUUGUUAAAUAACCUUAUUUUGUUGACUAAAAGUAAUUAGUAUUUUAUGACAUUUAUUUAUUAUGGCUGUUAACAUUACAAUUUAUCCUGGCUAAUUUCAUCAGUAAACACUCUUAUGAAAUGAUACUGUAGUUUACUUUCAACCAAGAAUUGGUUGACUUUGAUACAGUAAUUAGAUUAGGAUUCCCACGUCAGAUUUUCUUUCAAAAAUAAUUCCUAUUAUUAUGUGGAAGCCUCCUUUUCUGAUUUUUUUCUCUUAUUUUCUAAGAACAUAAUAUGUAAAUGGAUGUAUAAUGAAUAUUUGUGGCAAAAAGCAUUUGUCUAAGAAGAAUUAAGUUGAUUCAGCUGUUAAAGGGGUCUUAGUUGUUAGAGCUUUUUGGCGGUUUAUUUGCUAUAAUCAAUAGACUUAUUAAUACUUUUAAUUUUAGCCUAAUAGUACUAAUAGUCACAUUUUGACUAACUAUUGGGCCAGUUUUUCUUUGUCAUUCAUUGGUAGUUGAGUCUCUGUAGCCUUUAUACUGCCCUAUUUUUGGUUUGCCACAUUUUAAAUCUCAAACUGCCUAUAAUUUAUACUGUUAGUCUUUGGAAAUAAGUUUGAAUUGACUAUUCUGCUAAACUCAUUUUAAUGACCAUGCUCCCUUGUGAUGAGCUAAAUUUAUUUAUUAUUGUGUUGUCGUAUUAAUUUUUUUUUUUUUGAGACAGUCUCACUCUGUCGCCCAGGCUGCAGUGCGGUGGCUCAGUCUCCACUUACUGCAACCUCCACCUCCCGGGCUCAAGUGAUUCUCCUGCCUCAGCUUCCUGAGUAGCUGGGAUUACAGGCAAGAUUAAUGUUUUUUAUUUGUAAUCAAUUUAAGCCUAAUACAUGUUCUAAUAAUUUUUGUAUUUCAUAUAUGGAUAAAUUAUAAUAAUUCUUUUAAAGUGAAAGUAUUGAUGAGAGAUACUUUUUUUUGGAAUAGCUCAUUUUAAGCCCCUGAUACUUGAUAUGGAUAAAAUAUUUUCAGUGUUUAAUAAAAUGUUGAAAUAUAUUUAACUUUACUAAUUUGAGCCCUGCCAAUUAUAAUACUUUAGAAAAAGUGAAAAUAUAAUAGUACAUUUAUAAGGCUUUUAAGUAUUCACAAAAUAGUCAUUUCCCAGUAGAUGUUUUUCAGCUCUUAUGAUACAGUGUUUUCUUUUUCUUUUGGCCAUGUAUUGAUCAGAAUUAGUCAUUAACUUUACUAACAACUGGAUUUAGUUUGUCAGCCUUGAUGGUUUGGUUACACAGAUGUAGCUAUUGUGUCAACCCCACUGUUUUAAAUAUGUUCCUAUGCCAGGUGAAAUUUGAUCCCUUUAAGCAAAUUUCUGUUAAACACUUUGUGUCAGUUUCAGUAACGUUUCCCCAAUGAACAUUCCUACUGUACAAAAUUUUACAUAUGUGUAUUUACAUAUUUAUACUUUUUUCACAAAUGUGGGAAUUUAGGAUACUAUGUUUGUAAAAAUUGGGCAAUUUUUCUUGAAGAUAAUUUUUAAAAUUACAGCAAAACAUAGGGCCCUGAGAAGAAGAGGUAAAAUAUAUGGAAGAGCAAGUAUGUAUAGAUAAUUUUGUAACGUAACCUUGAGAGAAAUAUAGAAAACUGAGACAACAUAAGCCAAAGGAAAGGAAUUGGGAUGUAAAACCUUUAGGGUAGAGCAGUGCUCUGCUGUGGUCAUUUAUGCCUUGGCAUUAAGUUCUUUUGAAUAUAAAACAAUGCAUUUAGAAGGAUUUUAAGACUAUAUCACAGUGCACUGGCAUUUUCUUCUUCAAUUUUCCAGGGCUAAAUAAGGUAAUUGAAUAAUAAAACUUAAAAGCAUUUUUCAUUUCAUGAAGAUCCAAGAAAAAAUAUUUCAUAACAAUUUUUAUUUACAAGAAGGAAAAACAUAUUCAUAAGAAUCUUAGAUGAUUAGUAGGUUAAUGAAAUAAAAAGUUUGUUAGGAAGAAGGAAUACUAGUUAUUGAACAAUGCCAAUUUUUUCUAUUUAAAAAUAUUUAAAAUGCCAUUAGUUGAUUUAUUUAAUGAGCCAUCAGCCUUUAUUUUAGAUUCACUAUAACUCUGAUCUCCUAAACCUGCUUUUCCUAUCAGGUCUUAAAUAUUUCAUCCCUGCUUUCUUUUACAAUAUAGUUUUUGGGAAUGUAACUAUCAUGUUGAUAAGUAAUGCUAGGUGAAGGAAAAAGUUAAAACAACUCCAAUGCUAGGCAGUGAUAUACCAUAGAAAAAUAAAUGAGCCAAAGAUAGGGGAAGUGAUUUUUUUUGGAGGAAGAAAACAGAAAUGAGAACAAGAGGACAUGGAUGACUGCUGAAAAACUGACCAAGUUCCUCUUCAGUCUUCUAACAGAAUUUGGAAGAUGUUCUUAGCAUGCAACUGUUGGUUGAAAAAAACCCAAAUGUACAAGGGCCAUCAGUUCUUAAAAGUGGAAUAGUGCAUAGAAAGCUUAUUGACACAACAUAGCAGUUUGAUGAAAUGGACUGAAGCCAUUUCUGUGGAGUGGACUCGUGGAAAAUGUGAUGCCUGAUUCAUAAAAUUGUACACAGUUGAAUGUUGCUAUAUAGGUAAGGUUUUGCAAACUCAGGACUCUCAGGAAACAUCAAAGGUAUAUAGUUGGCACACUUAAUUUUAGAUAUGUGUGAUACGUUUGUGAUUUUUUUUAAAAAAAUAUUUCCAGGAAUGCUUAAGAAGAUUAUACCACCUCAUGCUAUAAAAUAAAACUAACUUGGAGAAUUCAACAAUGUUUGCUGUUUUAAUAUGCAUCUUACAAAGAUAAUUAUAAACACUGAGAGUAUUUACUGCAAUGCCCUGAAUAUAGUAUGCCUAAAGAAUUUUCUGUAUAAAAAUAAUUGUAUUUAUUUUAGUUAAAAAUUGAGUAAAAUAUACAUGCAUCAAAAUAAUUUCUAGGUAGACCAAAGUGAUAUAUGUAAAGAAAGACAAAAUCAAAAAUCAGGAAAUUGCUGGUGAAUAUCUAAUCUCGG